CUACCUUCCAAAGGUAGCCUAAUAUUAGGUUCUGCACUAUAUCCUUAAUAUUUUUGCACCUGGCUCAUUUCUGUCAAUGAUCCUGUUGUAACCUCUUGACAGGAAAUUCAUCUCUCUCCCUCAUGUGGAUAUGUUUGCCCUCAACUAUGUUUUUUUCCAUGACUGCACUUCCUACCCAGAUGUCUGCUACUGUCAGUAGUGUCCUUUGUCUGUGCUUUUCCUUAUUGUGCUGCCAGCUGUCCAGACUCUUCCUGACUACUGCUCACAUUGUCUAGUGUCUCAGCUGCACAGUUUUUCCACUAAGCUAUCUUCUGUUUGCUGUGUCCUCGUCCAGUACCUGUGCUAAAGCUGCACAUUUUUUCCACUAAGCUAUCUUCUGUUUGUUGUGUUCUUGUCCAGUACCUGUGCUAAAGCUGCUCUGCUCCUUGAUGACUGCCAAUUAUUUGAGUGUCAGAAGAAUGAUUUAUCUCAAAUUUUUAUCCACAAAUUAUACAUUAAAAUGAGAAAGUAUUUCUUAUCUGAAAUUAUUUCAUGUAAUCAAACUAAGAGGGGUCCGACUUAGCAAGGUUUUACUGCAAUAUGAAUGUAACUCAAAAACUGUUCUAUCUGUGACAGACUGUGUUUGAAGUGUGGGAGCAGUAUGAGUUGGGAAAGCCACUUACUAUUCUACUGAGUGAACUGGAAAGGAAGUUGAAGUUUGUGUCUUCCCAGCGCCUCCCUUCUAAGUGUGCUCGCACCCGUAACAUUGAUGACAUGCUGACUAAAGGAAUGAAGAAACAUAUCUUGGGCUUGUGAUGGGGCAAGAAAAUGGUAUCACAAGUAUUCUGCAUAUGUGUGGUACAGAUUAACCAGUCUUCAAAGUUUCCUGCCUGCUCAGGACACCCUCCCUAAGUCAUUAUUGGAGAGGAUGACGAAAGUGACUCCUCCCAUUGGCCUAAGUAACUGAUCUGUGAUGUCAUAAACUGCUUCCCAAGUUUUGUGCAUCAACUGGACCAACAUCCUGCCUGCCCAGGAUAUCCUAAGCUCACUGUGAAGAGGACAACAAAAGUGUUUUGUUUAAGAUACUGUGGUCAGUUCAUUAGUUUCCCAAGUUACCAGGUACCAAUUGGACCAGCAUCCUGAUUGUGAUGCCCACGUUAGCUCACAAUUGAAGUGGCUUCUAAAUGGCCUAAAAAACUAUACUAAGUUAUAAAUUCUCCAAAGACUGUCUGGAGAUCUUAUGAAGAGUUUAUUAAAGAUUUUUUGGAAA
Portunus trituberculatus (swimming crab) is the source of this 1249-nucleotide long non-coding RNA. RefSeq lists it as uncharacterized. The record is from RefSeq and is a predicted model, not a curated record. The transcript is spliced from 2 exons. NCBI's taxonomy places the organism in Eukaryota, Metazoa, Arthropoda, Malacostraca, Decapoda, Portunidae.